GAAGCCCCGGAGGAAGCCACUGACCGCAGUGCAUGCUGGGGGUUGUAGUUCUCGUGUACUCCACGGGUAAACAAGUCAGAGAAGCAGGCAGAGGAACCAACUCAGUAAAACCCGAGCUAUGUGAGAUGAAUGCUUGCUGGAUCCCGGGAUUUAGGCUAAAGUGGGCCAGCCUAGCCUGCCUGCUGAAGACAUAAGAAAGGGUUUUUGAAGGCGUCUCUCAUAAGAUGGCAUUUGAGCAGAGACCUGAGGAAGUGAAAGAUGGAGGGCUGAAGCUUCCAGUUAGAGGAACAAGCAAAGACCCCGAGCAGGAUCAGGAAAGUGUGGUAGAGACAUAAUCAAAGAUUCAGACAAAGAUAUAACUACAGAAUGCACAUGACGGUUUUGUUAAUACACCAAAAGGAAAAAAAUUAAAUAACGGACUCUCCCAAUAAAUUGUGACCAUCUAUAGUUUGGAAUAACAUGAAGAUUGUUAAAAACUAUGUUUACAAGAAUGGCAAUAACAGAGAAACACUUGCUAUAUAAUUUUCACAAUAACAAGGUGAAGAAAUAUUAUAUAUAUAUAUAAUAAAAUUCAAAUUUUUAAGAGAAAUUAAAAUGUAUAGAAAACAUUGGAAAAGGAUACACUUAAUAAUCUUUUUUUCAGCAUGGUAGAAUUGUGGGUGAUUUUUGUUCCCUUUAUAUUUUUUAAUACUUUGUACUUUUUAAUGACAAAUGUAUAUACUACCAUUUAAUGAUAAAAAUAUAUUUUUAAAAUACUGGAUAAGAAUUAUUCAAAUAAAUGCCUUAUUUAAAAGUUAAAUUGCAGACCAAGUGCAGUGGUUCACGCCUGUAAUCCCAACACUCUGAGAGGCCAAGGUAGGAGGACUGUUUGAGGCCAGGAGUUUGAGACCACCUUGGGCAACAGAGCAAGACCCUGUCUUUGCUGGGCAUGGUAGUAUGAGCCUCCAGUCCUGGCUACUCAGGAGGUUGAGGCAGGGGGAUUGAUUGAGCCCAGGAGGUCAAGGGUGCAGUGAGCUAUGAUUGUGCCACUUGCACCCCAGCCUGGGCAACAGAGCAAGACCGUCUCUACAAAUAAAUAAGUAAAUAAAUAAGAUACAAUAAAAAUUAAAUUGCAAAUGAAAAGUUACACUCUAUCUCAUCCUAUUGUAUACUAGAAAUUAUAAUUUUCCUCCAAUUCAUUACUUUGAUUAUUCUACAAAAUCAAGACUAAACUGGAAUUCAAAUCAGAAAGGCUAAGAAGCAAAGAAUAACAAUGGUGAACUUCAAGAUAAAUAUCCCACAUUAUUUUCAAGGCAGAGGCCAGUGUUGCCUUCUGCAUCUGUUUUGGGAAGAGUGCCCAAAGCCUUCAGAGGAGACAACCUUUUGUGCUGUGUCCCCUACUCCCCCCCCCAUUCUUACCCUGAAUAGCAUUCUUUCCAAAAAAGAAUAAAGAAUACUCAAGGAAAACUAUUAAAAUGCUUGGCAAAACUACACAGACAGACACAGAGGCCAAUUAAGUAUAAAUAUUUCACACCAGAACUGUCUUUUUGACCCAGCCACUAAUAUCUACCCGGCCACAGAUCUAAAUGUUUGGAUGAAAACGACAGAGCAGAGGAGGGCUGGUCAGCCAGCUGCAGAGGGGCGCCCCUUCGGAGCGUUCGCAUCUGCCUGAAGAAUAUGUGUAGUACGUUUUCCUAGAAGCAUGGAGGGGCAUGCGGGUUUGACCAUCUUCCUAAACCUGGAGAAGGUCACUGUUUUCCUUCAGGGAUUAUUCUGUCUCACCGCUUUUGUUUUUUGGUUUCCCUUGAUCUAAAACAAAAGGGUCUACUUUCUUCUUUGGAUUUUGAAGCUGUGGGUGCCUUUCUUCUCAGUUAAUUUUUUUUUUUGUUUUCAUCUGUUAAGACUUAGCUAGUUUAGGUUUUGAAAAUGAACACACUGACAGCCAUUGUGAGAAGAUAGCCUGGCCUUUUGGAGGACAAAUGCUGUGGGGUGGCGUAACCUUGAGGCUCAAGUCCUGGCACUGGCAUUUAGUGUGAGUCAUGCUGUAUUGCUUCACCUCCUGGGCUUCAGUCUCUCCAUCUGUGAAUGUAGAAUGACAAUACCUGCUGUGCUGUAAGGUCACUGUGAAGAUUAAAUGAGAUAAUGCUUUGUAACCUGUUGGCCUCUGUGCAGUUUAAAAUGAUGUUUUUCAUUACUUGGCUAAGUGCUGUACACCCACUGCUCUGUAGGCAAAAUUCAAACAAAAAGCUUUGUAAUGCUCCCACCCAUUGAAAACAUUACUAUGUUAGCCUCUAUAUACAUAAAUUAUUAUAACAAUACCUGGAAGGUAGGAAACACACUUUGAAUUAUAUUGUUUCUAAGAGUGAGGAUAAGGAUUACUUUCAUUCAUUUAUACUUUUUGGGCACCAAUAAUAUGUAUUUGUAAGAUGAGAUGGCCACUUUAUAGAUUGCAUCUUGUAUAUUAAGAAACAAUUAAAUCUAUUUUAAAAGUACAGCUAAAAACCUCCAUUUCCCGAAAUAGCGUGGAUUAGAUUACCUAAAAUCUUUCCUACUACAAAACAUCUAGAAAUGUUAAAAACCUGUAAUAUUCUUUUAAAUUCAUUAUUUGAAUUCCAAGAAAGUAAGAAAUAUCCCUAGGGAAAAAAAUGAAGAUGGAUCUGAACACCAAAAUGUAAGCACAAGCCAAUGUUGCAACAGCCUGGGUGGGGAAAGGGGAGUGAGAAAGUAUGAAGUUGCCAAUCUUAUUAGGCAAGAGGAUCUGCCUCUCUCAAUCUCUAUCUCUCUUUUUAAAAAAUUAAAUUAAAAAAUUUCAAGCACUCACAUAGAAUACUAUAUGACACCUCCAAAUACCUGUCACCUAGAUUCAUUACCAAAAUCUUGCAACAUUUUAUCUUUAUUGUUUGUAUUUUUAUCUUUGCUGAAGUUUUUACAUUGAAUCCUAGACAUCAUGCCAUUUCACUUCACAUAUUCUUAUAUGCAUAUCUAUUUAAACAGCACAGGAAAAGAGGUAUGAGUAUAAAAUCAAAGAAUUCAAACAGAGGCCUUAUAAUGUUAAACUUGAAUUGGAAAUAUUAGCAUGAACUCUCUCUUAAGAGAGAGUUUUAUCUCUUAAGAGAAAAGGCCUGGCAAAAAUGAAAACUCAGGAGCAAGAGGUCUUUGAUGACUUCCUUUUUUCUGACACUGAAAGAUGCCCCAGGAUCUUCUUGGACAUUUCUUGUCCCAAAUCUGUAAUUAUUCAUUUUUCCAAGGAAGCCUGGUCUUCUUAGUAAGAAAUGACACUUAAUGACCAAUCCAGGACUGACACAGAUCCUAGAAUAAGCAAACAAGGACCUUGAAGCAAUUACCAUAACUGUAUUCAAUAUGUUCAAAAAGUUAAGAAAGACAUGGAACAUAAAUUUUUAAAAUUAGACUUCUAGAGAUGAAAACUACAAUGUGUGAGAUGAAAAACACACUGAAUGGGAUGAGGGGAUUAACAGUAGAUUUGACAUUUUUUAAAAAGAUUAAUGAACUGGAGGACAUAAGCAAUAAAAAACAUUCAAAAUAAAAAAUAUAGAAAAAAUAAGUUUAAAACAUGAAAAAAGCAUCAGUGAGCUGUGGCACAACUUCAAGUUUUUAAUAUAAUAGGGGAUCCUAAAGAAGGGGGGAAAUAGAAAAAUAUCUGAUGAAUAAUGGUCAAAAUAUUCCCCCCGAUUUGAUGAAAACUGUAAAACUACAAUCCAGAAAGUUCAAUGAAUCUCAAGCACAAAAAUUAUGAAGAAAACUACACCAAGAUACAUCAUAAUAAAAAUACUCAAAGCCAGUGAUAAGAGAAAAUUUUCAAAGCAGUACAUUUAUCUACAGAGGAACACAUGUAAGGGUGAUAGCAGACUUCUCAUAGGAAACAAUGCAAGUGAAAAGACAAUGGUGCAACACCUAAAAAAAGCACUGAGCACUAAGUGAAAGAAAAACUCUGUAAACCUAGUAUUGUAUACCUAGUAAAAUAUCUUUCAAAAAUAAGGUAAAAAUAAAAACUACUUUCAAACAUAUGAAAGCUGAAAGAAUUAAUCACCAGCAGACAUACACAAUUAAAC
This 4049-nucleotide long non-coding RNA is filed under the name Homo sapiens (human). RNAcentral's name for it is "HSALNT0024240". The record is from RNAcentral. Lineage: Eukaryota; Metazoa; Chordata; Mammalia; Primates; Hominidae.